This 254-nucleotide ribosomal RNA is filed under the name uncultured bacterium. RNAcentral describes it as "partial 16S ribosomal RNA". It matches the Rfam family "Bacterial small subunit ribosomal RNA", at positions 524 to 776 of the family's 1533-position model. The record is from RNAcentral.
UACGUAGGGGGCAAGCGUUGUCCGGAUUUAUUGGGCGUAAAGAGCGUGUAGGCGGCCAAGCAGGUCCGCUGUGAAAACUCGAGGCUCAACCUCGAGACGUCGGUGGAAACCGUUUGGCUAGAGUCCGGAAGAGGAGAGUGGAAUUCCCGGUGUAGCGGUGAAAUGCGCAGAUAUCGGGAAGAACACCCGUGGCGAAGGCGGCUACUCUUGGGACCGUAUAGACGCUGAGAGCGAAAGCGUGGGGAGCAAACAGG